This 549-nucleotide ribosomal RNA is filed under the name uncultured bacterium. RNAcentral describes it as "bacterial SSU rRNA". It matches the Rfam family "Bacterial small subunit ribosomal RNA", at positions 376 to 920 of the family's 1533-position model. The record is from RNAcentral.
UGGGCACCUGAUCCUCCACCGCGUGAGUGAAGAAGCCUCGGGUUGUAAAGCUCUUUCGCAAGGGAAGAAAACUUAUGAUCGAAUAAAUCAUGAGGUUGACGGUACCUUGAUAAGAAGCACCGGCUAACUACGUGCCAGCAGCCGCGGUAAUACGUAGGGUGCGAGCGUUAAUCGGAAUUACUGGGCGUAAAGCGUGCGCAGGCGGUUUUGUAAGUCGGAUGUGAAAUCCCCGGGCUCAACCUGGGAACUGCGUUCGAAACUGCAAGGCUAGAGUGUGUCAGAGGGGGGUAGAAUUCCACGUGUAGCAGUGAAAUGCGUAGAAGAUGUGGAGGAAUACCAAUGGCGAAGGCAGCCCCCUGGGAUAACACUGACGCUCACGCACGAAAGCGUGGGGAGCAAACAGGAUUAGAUACCCUGGUAGUCCACGCCCUAAACGAUGUCAACUAGUUGUUGGUAGAGUAAAAUCUAUGAGUAACGUAGCUAACGCGUGAAGUUGACCGCCUGGGGAGUACGGUCGCAAGAUUAAAACUCAAAGGAAUUGACGGGGGC